UAGGGAAUUUUCGUCAAUGGGCGCAAGCCUGAACGAGCGAUGCCGCGUGAGUGAAGAAGGCCUUCGGUCGUAAAGCUCUGUUGCGGGGGAAAAAGGGCAGCAUCAGGAAAUGGGUGCUGACUGAUGGUGCCCCGCCAGAAAGUCACGGCUAACUACGUGCC
RNAcentral lists this ribosomal RNA (161 nucleotides) under uncultured bacterium. Its description in RNAcentral is "partial 16S ribosomal RNA". It matches the Rfam family "Bacterial small subunit ribosomal RNA", at positions 355 to 509 of the family's 1533-position model. The record is from RNAcentral.